CUACACGACCGUACCGCAAACCGACACUGGUGCGCGAGAUGAGUAUUCUAAGGCGCUUGAGAGAACUCAGGAGAAGGAACUCGGCAAAUUGACACCGUAACUUCGGAAGAAGGUGUGCCUUUAGUAGGUGAAGUCCCUGCGGAUGGAGCCCAAUGAGGUUGCAAAAAAUCGGUGGCUGCGACUGUUUAUUAAAAACACAGCACUCUGCAAACACGAAAGUGGACGUAUAGGGUGUGACGCCUGCCCGGUGCUGGAAGAUUAAAUGAUGGGGUGCAAGCUCUUGAUUGAAGUCCCAGUAAACGGCGGCCGUAACUAUAACGGUCCUAAGGUAGCGAAAUUCCUUGUCGGGUAAGUUCCGACCUGCACGAAUGGCGUAACGAUGGCCACACUGUCUCCUCCUGAGACUCAGCGAUGUUGAAAUGUUUGUGAUGAUGCAAUCUCCCCGCGGAAAGACGGAAAGACCCCAUGAACCUUUACUGUAGCUUUGUAUUGGACUUUGAACAGAUCUGUGUAGGAUAGGUGGGAGGCUUUGAAGUAGGGUCGCUAGAUCUUAUGGAGCCAACGUUGAAAUACCACCCUGGUGUGUUUGAGGUUCUAACCUAGGUCCAUUAUCUGGAUCGGGGACAGUGCAUGGUAGGCAGUUUGACUGGGGCGGUUCCUCCCAAAGCGUAACGGAGGAGUUCGAAGGUACGCUAGUUACGGUCGGACAUCGUGACGAUAGUGCAAUGGCAUAAGCGUGCUUAACUGCGAGACUGACAAGUCGAGCAGAUGCGAAAGCAGGACAUAGUGAUCCGGUGGUUCUGUAUGGAAGGGCCAUCGCUCAACGGAUAAAAGGUACUCUGGGGAUAACAGGCUGAUACCGCCCAAGAGUUCAUAUCGACGGCGGUGUUUGGCACCUCGAUGUCGGCUCAUCUCAUCCUGGGGCUGUAGCCGGUCCCAAGGGUAUGGCUGUUCGCCACUUAAAGAGGUACGUGAGCUGGGUUUAAAACGUCGUGAGACAGUUUGGUCCCUAUCUUCCGUGGGCGCUGCAGAUUUGAGGAAGCCUGCUCCUAGUACGAGAGGACCGGAGUGGACACACCUCUGGUGUAUCGGUUGUCACGCCAGUGGCAUUGCCGAGUAGCUAAGUGUGGAAGAGAUAACCGCUGAAAGCAUCUAAGCGGGAAACUCGUUUCAAGAUGAGAUCUGCCGGGGCCUUGAGCCCCCUAAAGAGUCGUUCAAGACCAGGACGUUGAUAGGUCAGGUGUGGAAGCGCAGUAAUGCGUUAAGCUAACUGAUACUAAUUGCUCGUGCGGCUUGACC
RNAcentral lists this ribosomal RNA (1299 nucleotides) under metagenome. Its description in RNAcentral is "bacterial LSU rRNA". It matches the Rfam family "Bacterial large subunit ribosomal RNA", at positions 1634 to 2925 of the family's 2925-position model. The record is from RNAcentral.